Molecule: ribosomal RNA, 253 nt
Filed under: uncultured bacterium
Lineage: Bacteria
Description: partial 16S ribosomal RNA
Rfam family: Bacterial small subunit ribosomal RNA
Source: RNAcentral
UACAGAGGGUGCGAGCGUUGUUCGGAAUUAUUGGGCGUAAAGGGCGCGUAGGCGGUGCGGUAAGUCACCUGUGAAAUCUCCUGGCUCAACUGGGAGCUUGCAGGCGAAACUGCCGUGCUGGAGUGUGGGAGAGGUGAGUGGAAUUCCAGGUGGAGUAGUGAAAUGCGUAGAUAUCUGGAGGAACACCAAAGGCGAAGGCAAUGUUCUGGCUCGUUUCUGACGCUCAGGUGCGAAAGCCAGGGGAGCGAACGGG